This 475-nucleotide ribosomal RNA is filed under the name uncultured bacterium. RNAcentral's name for it is "bacterial SSU rRNA". It matches the Rfam family "Bacterial small subunit ribosomal RNA", at positions 15 to 507 of the family's 1533-position model. The record is from RNAcentral.
GAUCAUGGCUCAGAUUGAACGCUGGCGGAAUGCUUUACACAUGCUACUUUUGCCGGCGAGCGGCGGACGGGUGAGUAAUGCCUGGGGAUCUGCCCAGUCGAGGGGGAUAACUACUGGAAACGGUAGCUAAUACCGCAUACGCCCUACGGGGGAAAGCAGGGGACCUUCGGGCCUUGCGCGAUUGGAUGAACCCAGGUGGGAUUAGCUAGUUGGUGAGGUAACGGCUCACCAAGGCGACGAUCCCUAGCUGGUCUGAGAGGAUGAUCAGCCACACUGGAACUGAGACACGGUCCAGACUCCUACGGGAGGCAGCAGUGGGGAAUAUUGCACAAUGGGGGAAACCCUGAUGCAGCCAUGCCGCGUGUGUGAAGAAGGCCUUCGGGUUGUAAAGCACUUUCAGCGAGGAGGAAAGGUCAGUAGCUAAUAUCUGCUGGCUGUGACGUUACUCGCAGAAGAAGCACCGGCUAACUCCGUG